Molecule: non-coding RNA, 164 nt
Filed under: uncultured Anaerosacchariphilus sp.
Lineage: Bacteria; Bacillati; Bacillota; Clostridia; Lachnospirales; Lachnospiraceae
Description: Lysine riboswitch
Rfam family: Lysine riboswitch aptamer
About the family: Riboswitches are metabolite binding domains within certain messenger RNAs that serve as precision sensors for their corresponding targets. Allosteric rearrangement of mRNA structure is mediated by ligand binding, and this results in modulation of gene expression.
Source: RNAcentral
AUGAUAGAGGCGCGGGGCUUCAGGAGUAUCGGUUGACAUAAGGUCGGAACCAGUCAGCCGGGAAAGGGAAGACCGCCGAAGGGAUUCAUCCGUUCCGAAGGAUGGGUUUCUGGGCUGCCGCAGAAUAUGCGUCAGACUGUCACAGGACUGUGGAGAGCUAUCAU